CACACCGCCCGUCACAUCACGAAAGUGGGUUGUACUAGAAGUCGUCGCGCCAACCCGUAAGGGAGGCAGCCUACCACGGUGAGCUUCAUGACUGGGGUG
RNAcentral lists this ribosomal RNA (99 nucleotides) under uncultured bacterium. Its description in RNAcentral is "partial 16S ribosomal RNA". The record is from RNAcentral.